GGUUAAGCGACUAAGCGUACACGGUGGAUGCCCUGGCAGUCAGAGGCGAUGAAGGACGUGCUAAUCUGCGAAAAGCGUCGGUAAGGUGAUAUGAACCGUUACAGCCGGCGAUGUCCGAAUGGGGAAACCCAGUGUGAUUCGUCACACUAUCGUUAACUGAAUACAUAGGUUAACGAGGCGAACCGGGGGAACUGAAACAUCUAAGUACCCCGAGGAAAAGAAAUCAACCGAGAUUCCCCCAGUAGCGGCGAGCGAACGGGGAGCAGCCCAGAGUCUGAAUCAGCUUGUGUGUUAGUGGAACGGUCUGGAAAGUCCGACGGUACAGGGUGAUAGUCCCGUACACCAAAAUGCACAGGCUGUGAACUCGAAGAGUAGGGCGGGACACGUGGUAUCCUGUCUGAAUAUGGGGGGACCAUCCUCCAAGGCUAAAUACUCCUGACUGACCGAUAGUGAACCAGUACCGUGAGGGAAAGGCGAAAAGAACCCCGGCGAGGGGAGUGAAAAAGAACCUGAAACCGUGUACGUACAAGCAGUGGGAGCACCUUCGGGUGUGACUGCGUACCUUUUGUAUAAUGGGUCAGCGACUUAUAUUCUGUAGCAAGGUUAACCGUAUAGGGGAGCCGCAGGGAAACCGAGUCUUAACUGGGCGUUAAGUUGCAGGGUAUAGACCCGAAACCCGGUGAUCUAGCCAUGGGCAGGUUGAAGGUUGGGUAACACUAACUGGAGGACCGAACCGACUAAUGUUGAAAAAUUAGCGGAUGACUUGUGGCUGGGGGUGAAAGGCCAAUCAAACCGGGAGAUAGCUGGUUCUCCCCGAAAGCUAUUUAGGUAGCGCCUCGUGAAUUCAUCUUCGGGGGUAGAGCACUGUUUCGGCUAGGGGGUCAUCCCGACUUACCAACCCGAUGCAAACUACGAAUACCGAAGAAUGUUAUCACGGGAGACACACGGCGGGUGCUAACGUCCGUCGUGAAGAGGGAAACAACCCAGACCGCCAGCUAAGGUCCCAAAGUCAUGGUUAAGUGGGAAACGAUGUGGGAAGGCACAGACAGCCAGGAUGUUGGCUUAGAAGCAGCCAUCAUUUAAAGAAAGCGUAAUAGCUCACUGGUCGAGUCGGCCUGCGCGGAAGAUGUAACGGGGCUAAACCAUGCACCGAAGCUGCGGCAGCGACACUAUGUGUUGUUGGGUAGGGGAGCGUUCUGUAAGCCUGCGAAGGUGACCUGUGAGGGUUGCUGGAGGUAUCAGAAGUGCGAAUGCUGACAUAAGUAACGAUAAAGCGGGUGAAAAGCCCGCUCGCCGGAAGACCAAGGGUUCCUGUCCAACGUUAAUCGGGGCAGGGUGAGUCGACCCCUAAGGCGAGGCCGAAAGGCGUAGUCGAUGGGAAACAGGUUAAUAUUCCUGUACUUGGUGUUACUGCGAAGGGGGGACGGAGAAGGCUAUGUUAGCCGGGCGACGGUUGUCCCGGUUUAAGCAUGUAGGCUGGUUGUCCAGGCAAAUCCGGAUAAUCAAGGCUGAGGUGUGAUGACGAGGCACUACGGUGCUGAAGUAACAAAUGCCCUGCUUCCAGGAAAAGCCUCUAAGCAUCAGGUAACAUCAAAUCGUACCCCAAACCGACACAGGUGGUCAGGUAGAGAAUACCAAGGCGCUUGAGAGAACUCGGGUGAAGGAACUAGGCAAAAUGGUGCCGUAACUUCGGGAGAAGGCACGCUGGUGUGUAGGUGAAGUCCCUGCGGAUGGAGCUGAGACCAGUCGAAGAUACCAGCUGGCUGCAACUGUUUAUUAAAAACACAGCACUGUGCAAACACGAAAGUGGACGUAUACGGUGUGACGCCUGCCCGGUGCCGGAAGGUUAAUUGAUGGGGUUAUCCGUAAGGAGAAGCUCUUGAUCGAAGCCCCGGUAAACGGCGGCCGUAACUAUAACGGUCCUAAGGUAGCGAAAUUCCUUGUCGGGUAAGUUCCGACCUGCACGAAUGGCGUAAUGAUGGCCAGGCUGUCUCCACCCGAGACUCAGUGAAAUUGAACUCGCUGUGAAGAUGCAGUGUACCCGCGGCAAGACGGAAAGACCCCGUGAACCUUUACUAUAGCUUGACACUGAACAUUGAGCCUUGAUGUGUAGGAUAGGUGGGAGGCUUUGAAGCGUGGACGCCAGUCUGCGUGGAGCCAACCUUGAAAUACCACCCUUUAAUGUUUGAUGUUCUAACGUUGGCCCCUUACCGGGGUUGCGGACAGUGUCUGGUGGGUAGUUUGACUGGGGCGGUCUCCUCCCAAAGCGUAACGGAGGAGCACGAAGGUUAGCUAAUCCUGGUCGGACAUCAGGAGGUUAGUGCAAUGGCAUAAGCUAGCUUGACUGCGAGCGUGACGGCGCGAGCAGGUGCGAAAGCAGGUCAUAGUGAUCCGGUGGUUCUGAAUGGAAGGGCCAUCGCUCAACGGAUAAAAGGUACUCCGGGGAUAACAGGCUGAUACCGCCCAAGAGUUCAUAUCGACGGCGGUGUUUGGCACCUCGAUGUCGGCUCAUCACAUCCUGGGGCUGAAGUAGGUCCCAAGGGUAUGGCUGUUCGCCAUUUAAAGUGGUACGCGAGCUGGGUUUAGAACGUCGUGAGACAGUUCGGUCCCUAUCUGCCGUGGGCGCUGGAGAAUUGAGGGGGGCUGCUCCUAGUACGAGAGGACCGGAGUGGACGCAUCACUGGUGUUCGGGUUGUCAUGCCAAUGGCACUGCCCGGUAGCUAAAUGCGGAAGAGAUAAGUGCUGAAAGCAUCUAAGCACGAAACUUGCCCCGAGAUGAGUUCUCCCUGAGACUUUAAGUCUCCUGAAGGAACGUUAAAGACGAUGACGUUGAUAGGCCGGGUGUGUAAGCGCAGCGAUGCGUUGAGCUAACCGGUACUAAUGAACCGUGAGGCUUAACCUU
RNAcentral lists this ribosomal RNA (2902 nucleotides) under Klebsiella pneumoniae. RNAcentral's name for it is "23S ribosomal RNA". It matches the Rfam family "Bacterial large subunit ribosomal RNA". Lineage: Bacteria; Pseudomonadati; Pseudomonadota; Gammaproteobacteria; Enterobacterales; Enterobacteriaceae. RNAcentral also lists the same sequence under 3 other names. The record is from RNAcentral.